AUGACAAACCCAAGGUAUCGCAGAUCUGUCAGGUCGGCCUCCUUCACCUUGCCGUGCCCGGCGAGUUGCUGCCGGACCUCGUCUUGCGCCUUCCGCAUAACCCGCGGGUUCCGUAUCAGCUCCGCCAUCGCCCACUGCAGCGUCGUCGCCGACGUCUCGCUGCCGGCGCCAAACAUCAUGACGGUCUUGAUGUUGUCAGUGGUGAGUGGAUACUGGGAGUCCGCUUCCUUUUGGAGUCUCAGGAGCACGUCGAGCAAGUCUUCUUCUUUGUCGCCGUCACCGCCCGGGCCUCUGUUCUCCUGGUGCUCCUGGAUGAUGGUGUCCAUGAACAGCUUCAUGCCUUGGCUAUGGCGCUGUAUCCUGCCGGGGACGCUGCUGAGGAGCCGCACGAGGCGCGAGGAGGGGAAAAUGUCGGGAAGGGUCAUCCCGGGCACGAUUUUGAGUCCCUCUUGCAGCAUCUUCAGGUACGUGUCCCGCUGCUUGAACCGGCCGCCGACGAUGGCGCGCACCGUAGAAUCAGCGACGUACGCCGAUAUGCGCUCGCUCAGGUUCACCGGCGAAGACGAGGCAGAAGCCGCCGCGACGGAGCGGAGGAGGCGCCCGAGCUCCUCCUCGCGGGCGGGGCGGAAGGACUGGACGCGGCGGGAGCUGAGGAUCUCGACGGUGCAUAUCUUGCGAAGCUGCCGCCACGCGUCGCCGUAG
This 702-nucleotide ribosomal RNA is filed under the name Triticum aestivum (bread wheat). RNAcentral describes it as "partial small subunit ribosomal RNA". Lineage: Eukaryota; Viridiplantae; Streptophyta; Magnoliopsida; Poales; Poaceae. The record is from RNAcentral.